GCUUCGAUGGCGCAGUGGUAGCGCAGUGGUCUCAUAAUCAUGAGGAGCUUGAUUUCCACAUCAUUCUUCGUCGUCAUGCUGUCAUGAUAUCCAAAGGUCGUGAGUUCGACCCUCACUUGGAGCA
RNAcentral lists this transfer RNA (124 nucleotides) under Ceratocystis platani. It matches the Rfam family "tRNA". From Rfam's summary of the family: Transfer RNA (tRNA) molecules are approximately 80 nucleotides in length. Their secondary structure includes four short double-helical elements and three loops (D, anti-codon, and T loops). Lineage: Eukaryota; Fungi; Ascomycota; Sordariomycetes; Microascales; Ceratocystidaceae. The record is from Rfam by way of RNAcentral.